GUGAUGCUAGGAAGCCAUUAUUGAGUCGCAAAUUCAAGGUCCGAGGCAUCCCUAUGCUUGUAGCCAUCGGACCAACUGGAAAAACUGUUACAAAAGAGACCAGGAAUCUGAUCAUGGCUCAUGGGGCUGAUGCUUAUCCUUUCACUGAGGAGCGUUUGAAGGAGAUUGAGGCACAAUAUGAGGAGAUGGCAAAGGGUUGGCCUGAGAAACUGAAACAUGAACUGCACAAGGAGCACGAGCUCGUACUCACUCGUCG
RNAcentral lists this long non-coding RNA (256 nucleotides) under Theobroma cacao (cacao). Its description in RNAcentral is "long non-coding RNA (TCAC_LNC001352)". Lineage: Eukaryota; Viridiplantae; Streptophyta; Magnoliopsida; Malvales; Malvaceae. The record is from RNAcentral.